This 473-nucleotide long non-coding RNA is filed under the name Setaria viridis. RNAcentral describes it as "long non-coding RNA (SVIR_LNC006934)". The record is from RNAcentral. Lineage: Eukaryota; Viridiplantae; Streptophyta; Magnoliopsida; Poales; Poaceae.
CUUCACAAGAGUCACACACCACACAAACUUUUUCUGAAGACAUAGGGGUAUUUCGGUAAAAAAAAGAUGUAUAUGCAGAACUGGACCAAAAUGUAUAUGCAGGACGUGGAGAGUUUGAGUAUAUGUAGGACUAGCAAUGCACAAAGAUGUACUCAGAUUCGGACUCAAGACAGCAACAAGGCAGCUGUCAAUUUGGAUUCAAAACCGAUUCCAACUCGAACUCAACACCACGUGGGAUUCGAUCUUAAACAAACUCAGAUUCCUACUCGGACUUGAAUACAAGGAUGUAUUCGGAUUCAGCCAACCAAAGGUUUAUAUGGUAGCACACAACUGUGACUAGAACAUGAUAAGAACUCGAAACUCUAAAGGACUAAAACUAAGACCAGCAACUCGACACGAUCGAUGCAACCAAAAAAUCAACAAGCCCUAACUAAGCAGUGCUAGCAAAGGCUCAAAGGGUUUAUAGGAUUGUG